GGCUCAGUUGGUAGAGCAUGGUGUUUGCAAUGCCAGGGUUGUGGGUUCGAUUCCCAC
Molecule: non-coding RNA, 57 nt
Organism: Salmo salar (Atlantic salmon)
Lineage: Eukaryota; Metazoa; Chordata; Actinopteri; Salmoniformes; Salmonidae
Source: Rfam